ACGCAUGUGGCAGCUCCUCCGGGGCUGCGCUGCACCGUUCCCCUCUCUGUGGGGAGCGUGUGUGCUUGAGAUACAUGCUAUAGUAAAGCACAUGGAGUUAACAGGGCCACCGGUCUCCCAGCACAGGCUGUGUGGUAGUAUAAUACUCCAACACUG
Lepisosteus oculatus (spotted gar) is the source of this 156-nucleotide small nucleolar RNA. Lineage: Eukaryota; Metazoa; Chordata; Actinopteri; Semionotiformes; Lepisosteidae. The record is from Ensembl.